CGGGUAUAACAGUACUCACCGCAGAAACUGUCAGAAGGAUGGCGUACACAACAGACUGAGUACGGUGCCUGGCACACUCAGAGGUAGUCAAAAAUUAAACUCUGGGCCUUGCCGGGGCCCAUGAAUCAAGGUGGAUGCAUAUCCACGAAACCAACCAUCCUCCUCUUGGGAAAGGCAACCGAGGCAGCUGCUUAAAAGAGAACAGGCCCUAGGGAGCCUCAUAAGGAAAGACUUCACCCACUUUCAAGCCCAGGCUUGUGGAAAUCCAAAGCCAUAUCUGCAGUCAAAUCCCAGCUUUAUAACAGAAAAAAAAAACGCACAUCUAUAUGCAUUUAAAAACCCAUUAAUAGCAGUAACCUGUUUGGGAGGAUUAUGGGUGAUUUUUAUUUUCUCCUUUGUACUUGUCUGUUUCUAAUUUUUCUGCAAUGAUCAGGUAUAUCCUUACUUUUAGAAUCAGAAAUAAAUGUUAUUUAAAAAUAGAAU
This 483-nucleotide long non-coding RNA is filed under the name Homo sapiens (human). RNAcentral's name for it is "HSALNT0001749". The record is from RNAcentral. Lineage: Eukaryota; Metazoa; Chordata; Mammalia; Primates; Hominidae.